This 440-nucleotide ribosomal RNA is filed under the name uncultured bacterium. RNAcentral's name for it is "partial 16S ribosomal RNA". It matches the Rfam family "Bacterial small subunit ribosomal RNA", at positions 338 to 795 of the family's 1533-position model. The record is from RNAcentral.
CCUACGGGAGGCAGCAGUAGGGAAUAUUGCGCAAUGGAGGAAACCCUGAUGCAGCAACGCCGCGUGAGUGAAGAAGUAUAUCGGUAUGUAAAGCUCUGUCAUCAGGGAAGAAAAUGACGGUACGUGACAAGUAAGCACCGGCUCAAUACGUUACAGCAGCCGCGGUGAUACGUAGGUGCCAAGAGUUAUUCGGAUUUGCUGGGGGUAAAGGGAGCGUGGACGGCAUGGAAAGUCUGGAGUGAAAGGCGGGGGCCCAACCCCCGGACUGCUCUGGAAACUGUCAGGCUGGAGUGCAGGAGAGGGAAGUGGAAUUCCGAGUGUAGCGGUGAAAUGCGUAGAUAUUAGGAGGAACACCAGUGGCGAAGGCGGCUCACUGGAUUGUAACUGACGUUGAGGCUCGAAAGCGUGGGGAGCAAACAGGAUUAGAUACCCCUGUAGUC